AUGUCGUGUGAGGUACCAUUCUCUUCGUCUCUUCGAGAACUAUAACUUUCGUUUUUGUUUCACUCAAUUUCGUUGAGUAUUAACAAAGUUAUUGAUGUUUAAAGGUUGCCCAGAAAUUCUGGCGGAAAGCCCAGUUUUCUCGGCGAACCCGUAUUUUCCAGGCCAUUUUCCAGCCAACUCCGGCCACGAUGACGGGAACCAAGGGUAUAUUUCGAUUCCUUACCUUCGGGGCUUCAAUUUGGUAUAUUGAAUGGCAUGUUUUGGUUGAGUUUUGAGCUCCAUCAGAGCUUGGGAAUUCUCCGGCCGAAAUCCUGCCUUCUCCUCCCUUUGAAUCUAGCGACCCACCAAACCCAAGCCCUUUGGGCCUUCCCUGCCGAGCCCAACCCAAACCCAUUUCUCUUUUUAUUUUGUUUAGGCCUUUGGGCCUAGAACCCUCCAUCCCUUUUUAUUUUCUGUUUUAUUUAUUUUUGGUUUUAAAAGCCUUUGGGCCUUAUAUGUUAAAAACCUAAACUUAACCCACUUAAAAAUCUAAGCCUAAACCCUUUAACCCUUCCAACCCUAAAUCCUAGCCGGCUCAAACCUUUUUGUGGAAUAUUCCAUUAGGGAAUAUUCCAUCAGAGAAUAUUCCGUCAGGGAAUAUUCUUUGGAAUAUUCUAUUGACGUUUACGAAAUUAUCCGAGGCCCUUCUUAGGGUAAUUCGACGUCCCGAAUCUGUUUUUGACGUCCGUUUUCCCAAAUUCAAUUGCUAUAAUAGAGUUUUAUUAAUUGGACCCUAAAUGUGCUAUUUAUAUGCUUAGGGGCAAUUAUUGUGACGCUUCCGUCUUCGCUAGUGGCGCAGUUUUUGGCGGCUAAGUACUGUGAGUGGACCUCUUUCUAAAAUUACAUGAUUUGAUAAUUUAAUUGCAUAAAUGAAUAGCAUGCCUUACGAGUUUACGAUUUGAUUUAUGAUAAGCAUGUUUAUUGAAUAUAUUGAUUUUCGUCUCGUGUUUUUGGAGAGAAAUCAAUUGUUGGCCUAUAUUGAGCUAUAUUUUAACAUAUCGUAUUUUCUAUAAAAACCAUGAACUGGUAGACUAUCUGAUAGAUGACGAUAGGAUGCUAGAACAUGUUUUUGAAACCCUUUUUAUAGUAUAAACGAUUAUCGGUAUUUAUACUAUAAAGUGGUUAUUUAUGAGAGGCGUAACUAUUUAUGCGUACCUAGUGGACACUAUGCCGCCUGGGGCGAGGAUUUGGUGUUGGCAUUUAAGCCGGGAGAAAUAAUCCCUAGCUACGGGCUGAGGGACAUGAAAAGGCAUUGCGCCGGGAGUUGGUAAUCUCUGGCUACAGGUGCAGAGACCACGGAGUAGGCAUUGGGCCGGGAGUUAUAUUUAUCAGUGAUCUUACUAGCAGCACACCACGCUUACGAGACGAUUUAUGAGACGUUUACUGUUUUGAUUUAUGCGAUGAUAUUCCGCUAUAUGGCUUUUGACAUAUUUUUGGCAUGCUAGGAUUUUUAUUAAAUCCAUCACUUAUUAUGCUAGUAGUUUUCAUUAUUAAGCUGUAGGGGUUAGUAUCUUGAUAACUGUUUUAUUAUUAUAUAUAUAUGAAUUUGGUCCACUCACCUUUGUUUUGCGUCCCCAUUCAGGACUUAGAAUCAAGGCACCUAAUUCCGGCGUCAAGACACUUCCGCAGCAGCAUCUUUGAAUCCUCUCGAUGUAGGAUCCACUUCUUUAUUCAUUCAAUUUCAUCUUAAUUCUUUUUAGUGACUAAAUUUAGUUGUAUACUCU
This 1763-nucleotide long non-coding RNA is filed under the name Malus domestica (apple). RNAcentral describes it as "long non-coding RNA (MDOM_LNC003193)". The record is from RNAcentral. Lineage: Eukaryota; Viridiplantae; Streptophyta; Magnoliopsida; Rosales; Rosaceae.